GCCCCCUUACGUUUUGGCAUUUAUUUACAAGCGGCGCGACUGUGUUGAUGAUGACAGAGCGUCCCGCAGCUUUCUCCCAGUGUAACCACUCUGUAACAGACUCCCAGUGAUGAUGCAGGCGGACUUGAACUGGCGGCUGAUCGUACCCGGGGCCACGCAGGAGGAGGAGGAGGAACGGUACCGGAACCAGCGAGGGUGCCGGUGCUGCUGUGACGGAGCGCAUCGGGAGAAGGCGAGCUUCUACAGCCUGGUCCUAGUGCUGCUGCUGGUGCUGGUGCUGGUGCUGCUGGUGCUGGUGCUGGUGCUGCUUCUGCUGAUGGGAGCACUGGGAUGGUUUGAUCUGACCGGAGACCAAAAGGUUUUGCACUGCCGUCCUGGUAGUAUGAAGCAGUCUGAGGCCAAACAGGAAUAA
RNAcentral lists this long non-coding RNA (412 nucleotides) under Gouania willdenowi (blunt-snouted clingfish). RNAcentral describes it as "lncRNA (ENSGWIG00000013858.1)". The record is from RNAcentral. Lineage: Eukaryota; Metazoa; Chordata; Actinopteri; Blenniiformes; Gobiesocidae.